GGACUACUGGGGUAUCUAAUCCUGUUCGCUACCCACGCUUUCGCUUCUCAGCGUCAGUUACUUCCCAGAGACCCGCCUUCGCCACCGGUGUUCCUCCUGAUAUCUGCGCAUUUCACCGCUACACCAGGAAUUCCAGUCUCCCCUGAAGUACUCUAGUCUGCCCGUAUCGACUGCAGGCUUGCAGUUGAGCUGCAAGAUUUCACAAUCGACGCGACAAACCGCCUACAAGCUCUUUACGCCCAGUAAUUCCGGACAACGCUCGCACCCUACGUAUUACCGCGGCUGCUGGCAC
This 292-nucleotide ribosomal RNA is filed under the name uncultured bacterium. RNAcentral describes it as "partial 16S ribosomal RNA". The record is from RNAcentral.